GACGGGGGCCCGCACAAGCAGCGGAGCGUGUGGUUUAAUUCGAUGAUACACGAAGAACCUUACCCAGGCUUGACAUGUUGGUAGUAGGGAUCCGAAAGGUGACCGACCCUUCGGGGAGCCUUCACAGGUGCUGCAUGGCUGUCGUCAGCUCGUGUCGUGAGAUGUUCGGUUAAGUCCGCUAACGAGCGCAACCCUCGCUGUAUGUUACAUGUGUCAUACAGGACCGCCGGUAUCAAGCCGGAGGAAGGUGGGAUGACGUCAAGUCCGCAUGGCCUUUAUGUCCGGGGCUACACACACGCUACAAUGGUCGGUACAAUGGGUUGCUAAGCCGCGAGGUGGAGCCAAUCCCCCAAAGCCGGCCUCAGUUCAGAUUGCAGGCUGCAACUCGCCUGCAUGAAGCUGGAGUUGCUAGUAAACGCGCGUCAGCUAUAGUGCGUUGAAUACGUUCUCGGGCCUU
RNAcentral lists this ribosomal RNA (457 nucleotides) under uncultured Anaerolineaceae bacterium. RNAcentral describes it as "bacterial SSU rRNA". It matches the Rfam family "Bacterial small subunit ribosomal RNA", at positions 912 to 1382 of the family's 1533-position model. The record is from RNAcentral. Lineage: Bacteria; Bacillati; Chloroflexota; Anaerolineae; Anaerolineales; Anaerolineaceae.